This 672-nucleotide ribosomal RNA is filed under the name Agardhiella domokosi. RNAcentral's name for it is "partial 12S ribosomal RNA". The record is from RNAcentral. Lineage: Eukaryota; Metazoa; Mollusca; Gastropoda; Stylommatophora; Agardhiellidae.
UCAAAAACGGGUAACCCCUUUUUAGAGUUAUUCAAUUUGAUAAUUGGAAUUAUAUAAAUUUAUAUUAAUUAUGGGAAUUUAAGAUUUAUCCAGUUAAAAAUAUUAACAAAUAAUAGAAAUAUCAAUUUAGUAACAAUAAAAAUCUAAGGUUUAUUAGGUGCCAGCAACCGCGGUCAUACCUAAUUAAAUUUAUAAUUACUUUUAGUGAAUUUUCUAAAGGAAAAAUUAUAUUAACAUAGUAAAAUAUUUUAUAUAAAUAACUCUUUUUCCUUUAAUAAAAGAAAACCUCUAAAGCCCAAGCAAAAACUAGGAUUAGAUACCCUAUUAUUAAGGACUACAAAAACCACUGAGGAUUAAGAUAAAAAUAUUGAAACUUAAAAAUCAUGGCGGCUAUUGGAACCUAUUAGGGGAACUUACCUAUUAAUUGAUAACCACCAAGAUAUUCUACGUUUUAAAAAAGCUUGUAUGCCGUCGUCUUUAAGCUUUUUAAGAAAAUUUAGAAAUAACUUUUUGGUUUUAUGACAGAUCAAGGUGCAACUAAUAAAAAUGGAAAAGGCGAGUUACAAUAAUAACUCUCUUCAAUUAGAUAUAUUUAGAAAGUAAAAUCUAAAGAUGGACUUAAAAGUAAAAAUAAAAUCAAAAUUAGAAAUUGAAUUUAUAAUCUAUUAGUGU